Lolium perenne is the source of this 3209-nucleotide long non-coding RNA. RefSeq lists it as uncharacterized. Lineage: Eukaryota; Viridiplantae; Streptophyta; Magnoliopsida; Poales; Poaceae. The record is from RefSeq and is a predicted model, not a curated record.
UGAUGAUGUGUUUGAGAUGAGCAGCUAUAGUGGGUCAUCUCAAGCUCACUUCCUGUGACUCCCCACCCCCGGCGACCGGACCCCGCCCAUGCCUCUCCGCUGCUGGCCUCGACGGCUGCCUCCUCCUUCAGCUUCGUCCAGGCGAGUGGAUACCACGCGGCACUCGCGGAGGGCUAGGUGGCCCAGCGGGAUGCGCCAAGGGAGGUGGAGGGGCGGAUCUCGUCUCCACUGGAUCCGCUGCCGUGGCCGCCACCACCGGCAUUCGGUGGCUCUGCGUCGGCCUCCUCUCCGCCACCGACGCCGUCUGCCGCCAGUAAGCUCCCUCCCACAUCAGCUGUCUUCAACGUCCCUGACCAUGCCGGCAUCCCGCUGGCCGGGCUCACUACCGACGGACGGUUAUCUCCGGCUUCCUCCCCUGCAAGUGCACCACCCACGGCUUCGUCUACGACUCGCUGCUCGACAAGCGCAGGAUUAUUUUCCAACUGUCUUCGAUAAUUUCAGUGCUAAUGUCAUCGCCACUUCAACAGGUCUGCUUUUUUUUUUCAGUUGGCACACACUUGAACAUCCUUAUUUACCGUGGUGUUGAUGCCUUUCUGUUGGCUUUUUUUCGCUUAUCACCAAAGCUAGCUAUUAGAAUGUUUCUUAAAAGGCAAGUGACCAAGUUUUGCUUAUUUUUCGUUCUUCCCCUAAGCUACGCCCACUGAUGCUCUUCAUCUCAUACCAUUGCAUUAUAUUUUUUAUAAACCUCCUCUCCUAUUGCACCGUGCUUGUGCAAAAUGUCACAAUUCUCUGUAAUUGACCAUGAUGUAUUAUCAGCUUCCACCUUUUGCAAUUAUUUUAGUGCAGCACUUAAUUGAGUUGUGGACUGUUGUUACCGCAUGCCAUACAGUUGUGUUUCACCAUUGGAGUAAAUAGCUGCUGACAUUAACUUUCUGACUGAAGUAUCUGGAGAUCUUAAGUACAUGUGUCUUUGUUGUCAAUAAUUUCAGUUGCACUGUUAUUCAUGGUUGCCAUAUUCUUAUGAUAUUCCCAUACCACCUUUACACUACAAUCAAAAGUUGACUGCUUCACAUUUCUAGAUGAGGCUGUAGAAUUUUGAUUGUAAUCAUAUUUCUGGCCUGUCUUGAUUAGUUUGAAGCAAGUAGCAUGGCCUUCUUAAAUCUGAUGGCUGAUACAAAGUUGCAUUUAGCCUUUUUUAGUUUACUUGGAUGUCUCGGAUCUUCUCCCCUGUUAUACAUGAUCUCUGUAGUAUGAAAACUAUCUUUUUUAUUCGGUCCACUUGCUACACUGAGAAGUUCCGUUGAUGAUAUGGUCUCUUCCAUUGUGUUAAUAAAAAGAGUUAUGUUUGCAACUAUUAUGUUAUUAUUAUGUAGCAUAAUAUGCUUCCUUUGUGUUGUACACUACCUUGUAGAUGAUUGUUUUUAGUUACUGUUGUGGUUCCGUAUAUAGCUGCUACUCCUCUCGAGCUAAGGUAAACACACAGUCGACAUUGACUAUAGUAGUCAAAGUCCAAUGUUUGGUUCUCUUAUACGAUGUUGACAUAAUAUAUCAAACUUUCUUUGUAGUCAUAGUUGGAUUGUCUGAAUCUUGUAUACCAUAUGCAUAUACAAAGCUUUAUUUGUAGUUGAAGUUGGGUGUGUACAGUGUAGGGCCGAAAGAUACAGGGCUCAACAUAUUUUGGAUGUUUAUCUAUAUAGUGUGGGCUUUAGUUCAUCACUGAGAAUAACCUGAUGUCAUGUGUACUGUUAAUUUUAUUUAUUGACUUUUCCCCCAUUAACCCCUAUAUAAUUUAUUUUAUAAGCAAACAAAAUUAGUAUUGUGAAUUUUUCCAGAGGCAACCAUAUGGAUAUCAAUACGCAGUAACCAUGUAGAAUACAUGUGUCUUUUCUAUUUUCUAACUCGUGUGGCCUAUAUGUUGCUUAGAAAAGUAGUUCUUGGGUUGGUGGUUUUGAUGCAUUUCAAAUACUUGCCCAUGCAUAUGGUUAAUUCUUUUAUAUAUGUUUAUGCUCCCUAGCAAAAAUCUUAGUGAAUCAUGAUUUAGUUUAAAAAAUAAAGGUCAUUGCUUUCAUACACGUUUGAAAACGAAACUGACUUGUGUCCAAUUUUUUCAUUGCAGCAGGGGCACAGGAAGCAGCCGAACCUGAACCUGAAGAAAUUGCAGAUGUGUGCAUGCGGCAGGACCGCAGAAGCCUGUCUCCACGUUGACAGGCGUUCAGGGCUGGCGCGGGUGCCGGCUGGAGCAUGUCCGCGCGUUCAAGGAAGUUCAGUGUAGCCUCCCGUAGAGGCUAUGUUGGCGCUCUUGUGGGACGGCAGCGGGCGGCCCGGCCCCGGGAGUGCUACAGAGCGGGCGUGGGUGCCGGCGGGAGCCUGUCCGCGCGUUUAGGGACGUGCAGCGCGGCCUCCCAUGGAGGCUAUGGCAACGCUCUUGUGGGAUGGCAGUGGCAGCGCCGGGAGUGCUGCAGAGCGGGCGUGGGCGGGAGCCUGUCCCCGCGUUCAGGGACAUCCAGAGUUGUCUUCCAUGGAAGCUAUGCUGGAGCUCUCGUGGAACGACAGCGGGCGGCGCCGGGAGUGCUGCAGAGCGAGCGCGGGCGCCGGCGGGAGCCUAUCCCUGCGUUCAGGGGCGUCCAGUGCUGUCUUCCAUGGAGGCUAUGGUGGAGCUCUCGUGGAACGGCAACAGGCGGAGCCGGGAGUGUUGCAGAGUGGGCGUGGGCGCCCACAGGAGCCUGUCCCCGCAUUCAAGGGGCAUGCCCAGUGGCCUCCCCCUAGAGGCUAUGGCGGAGCUCUCGCGGGACGGCUGUGGGCGGGCGGGAGUGCCGCGGCAGCGAGCGGCGGUUCGCUUCUGGAUGUUGUCUGCCCCGUUAAACACGGAGAGGCUGUGGAGCGUUGGAUUUUCUGGUUGGAUGGCCAAGAUGGGUUGGAUCAGACCCUCUGGGUCUUUUAUUAGUAGUGGUGAUGGUGAUGAUAUUCAGGUGGGGAGAGAAUCCCCCCACCCCCGUGGUGAAAAUUUGAAAAAAAAAAACAGAUUAAUUAGUGAAUAAGAAGAGUAAGUUCAUUGCGCACUCACCAGGGAUCUAGCGAGAUGACAAGUGCAGAUACCAAAAUUAAUCUAGGCUGAUUUCCGGCGGCUCCAAACCCUUUGGAAGCAAAUCAUGUACGCAUGCAGCGAUUUAUAGUGCGACUCGAAGCAAAUGGUAUAUGUUGUUGGAUUA